This is a long non-coding RNA of Acanthochromis polyacanthus (spiny chromis), 594 nucleotides long. RefSeq lists it as uncharacterized. The transcript has 3 exons. Lineage: Eukaryota; Metazoa; Chordata; Actinopteri; Pomacentridae. The record is from RefSeq and is a predicted model, not a curated record.
UUGUCAGUCACAGCCUGCAUGCGUGAGGGAGAGGACAGCGUUUGGUUGCUUUGAGAGUCCACAGAGAGACAGAGGGAGAGAGAGGAGAGACACUUUGUAGCUGUAUUAUUUCACUCUUUUACACUAUUCUGCCCUCGUCGGAUGCGCUCGAACCGUCAGGCAGUGAAUGAAAGGAGAGAAAAAUCCGAGGCAGGAAUAGGGAAUCACUGGAGGACACUGACUGUGGUGGAGUGGAGUUAGCCUGAUGUGCAAGAAAAUGCCGGCGUGGUCAGGCCUAAAGUUCAUAUUAACUCACAAUGAAGACAAAAAGCCACCGGACAGAAUGAGGAGCAACAGUCGGCCUGCAGAUUGAUGGCGUUCUGGAAAAAUCCCUGAUUGGCUGCGCUUGACUCAAAAACUGGAACAACUGGAGCAUUUUUUUGUGCAUUUCCUGCUGUGCAUUUAAACCUGUGAUACAAAGACCUUGUUAUGUAGAGGUUAACAAUCCAACACUCAACAACUCUGUCACUGAAUUGUUAUAUUAGAUAUUAAUAUAUAUUUGUCCACCAGUUGUGCCUUGAGAUGUGUCAAUAAAUUUAUUAAAAUAUGUUACAA